Molecule: long non-coding RNA, 411 nt
Organism: Passer domesticus (house sparrow)
Lineage: Eukaryota; Metazoa; Chordata; Aves; Passeriformes; Passeridae
Exons: 3
Source: RefSeq, a predicted model, not a curated record
AGCUGAGAUUGCUCAGAAGGCUUCUCCAUUAGCUUGGCUGCAUAAAGUUUUGAAGCCCUUGGAGUCUCCUGCAGAUGUGUCUGCAGGGAGGACUUUUCCUGUUCCUUUGCUGAUUCGUACACAGAAGCCUGUCUCCCAUGGCAGGGGUGAGUAGUGUGCUCCUGCUGACCCCACAGGCUGAGCCCUGCUUUUGUGGGAUCCAUUCCUGGGAAACGGAACUACUUUCUCUUAAGGUCCUCUCAGGGGGAAGAGCAAAGGCAAAAAACAGAAGAAACCCCACGAGCCAAACAACAUCCUGAAACACAUCGUGACAGAACUGCACAAAGGCCAUGGGAUGGACAGAGAGGCUCUGUGGAAGGUGGCAUUUCCUGAAGGAAGGGAAGAGAUGCCAGGCACAGUCCCAGAAGGUAA